Molecule: ribosomal RNA, 411 nt
Filed under: Lacihabitans sp. CS3-21
Lineage: Bacteria; Pseudomonadati; Bacteroidota; Cytophagia; Cytophagales; Leadbetterellaceae
Description: bacterial SSU rRNA
Rfam family: Bacterial small subunit ribosomal RNA
Source: RNAcentral
UUACUAUGGAGAGUUUGAUCCUGGCUCAGGAUGAACGCUAGCGGCAGGCUUAAUACAUGCAAGUCGAGGGGGCAGCAAUGUCACCGGCGAACGGGUGCGUAACGCGUAUGCAACCUACCUACAUCAGGGGGAUAGCCCUAGGAAACUGGGAUUAACACCGCAUAAUACUAGACACGGCAUCGUGCUUAGUUGAAAUAUUUAUAGGAUGUAGAUGGGCAUGCGUAGGAUUAGCUAGUUGGUAAGGUAACGGCUUACCAAGGCUACGAUCCUUAGGGGCUCUGAGAGGAGUAUCCCCCACACUGGCACUGAGAUACGGGCCAGACUCCUACGGGAGGCAGCAGUAGGGACUAUUGGGCAAUGGAGGCAACUCUGACCCAGCCAUGCCGCGUGCAGGAAGACGGUCCUCUGGAU